UAGUUCACUUCACUUUUCGAGGGAUCAUGGAUUCGAGUUCACUUGUCUAUGAGUGUAUGAACAACUUGAGAUCCUUCCAAGGUGCAGGGGUUCUCUCUCCAUUCACUUUGAGAUGGGUUUCUUGUGAUCUUUGUAGUAGUUUUUCCAUCCAAUUUUAUGGUAAAUUAAGUCUUACACAGCUAUCCCCAAGGAUGUCCAUUCCAU
This 204-nucleotide long non-coding RNA is filed under the name Hordeum vulgare. Its description in RNAcentral is "long non-coding RNA (HVUL_LNC016835)". The record is from RNAcentral. Lineage: Eukaryota; Viridiplantae; Streptophyta; Magnoliopsida; Poales; Poaceae.